UGGGGAAUAUUGCACAAUGGGCGAAAGCCUGAUGCAGCAACGCCGCGUGAGCGAUGAAGGCCUUCGGGUCGUAAAGCUCUGUCCUCAAGGAAGAUAAUGACGGUACUUGAGGAGGAAGCCCCGGCUAACUACGUGCCAGCAGCCGCGGUAAUACGUAGGGGGCUAGCGUUAUCCGGAAUUACUGGGCGUAAAGGGUGCGUAGGUGGUUUCUUAAGUCAGAGGUGAAAGGCUACGGCUCAACCGUAGUAAGCCUUUGAAACUGAGAAACUUGAGUGCAGGAGAGGAGAGUGGAAUUCCUAGUGUAGCGGUGAAAUGCGUAGAUAUUAGGAGGAACACCAGUUGCGAAGGCGACUCUCUGGACUGUAACUGACACUGAGGCACGAAAGCGUGGGGAGCAAACA
This 401-nucleotide ribosomal RNA is filed under the name uncultured bacterium. RNAcentral's name for it is "bacterial SSU rRNA". It matches the Rfam family "Bacterial small subunit ribosomal RNA", at positions 355 to 774 of the family's 1533-position model. The record is from RNAcentral.